RNAcentral lists this ribosomal RNA (253 nucleotides) under uncultured bacterium. Its description in RNAcentral is "partial 16S ribosomal RNA". It matches the Rfam family "Bacterial small subunit ribosomal RNA", at positions 524 to 776 of the family's 1533-position model. The record is from RNAcentral.
UACAGAGGUCUCAAGCGUUGUUCGGAUUCAUUGGGCGUAAAGGGUGCGUAGGCGGCGCGGUAAGUCGGGUGUGAAAUCUUGGAGCUUAACUCCGAAACUGCAUUCCAUACUGCGGUGCUUGAGGACUGGAGAGGAGACUGGAAUUUACGGUGUAGCAGUGAAAUGCGUAGAGAUCGUAAGGAAGACCAGUGGCGAAGGCGGGUCUCUGGACAGUUCCUGACACUGAGGCACGAAGGCCAGGGGAGCAAACGGG